UUUAUAGUUUAACUCUGAAGCAAAGAUGAUAACAGCCCCUUCCCAAAACUGAACUCCACCUUGUUUGGGGACUAAAACUGCCUUUGUAAAGUUAAUAAAAGGGCACAAGGUAACAACUGAGACAGAGGCUUGGACUCUGCUAGGAUACAGACCUUGCAAUCUGGUAGAUCAAUGGAUGCCAACCAGACCAGUGACCCAUGGCCCCCACCCAGGAACUGACUCUGCAGCAGGCAAGAAGAAGCUGUCGGGCUGUAACAGAGAUGCCUCCCUGAGCUGAGAUGUGAAGGAUGAAGAAGGACCACCUAGGGAAACAUAUUCAAGGAAGGAGAAACAGCCAGCACAAAGGCUCCAAUGUGGAAAUAAAGGUGGUACGUUGAAAACCAAAAGAAGGCCAUUCAGUUGGGGCAGAGUCAACAAGUAGGAGAACAGAAGGUCACAAAGUCUAUGUGACCACAGAUCCCCAGCUCUCCAAAGAGGACAUCUUCCAAAAAGCACCCAUGACAUUUCCACAGCACCCAGAAACCAGAACCACCUUGUUAUUAAGGAAGGUGUGAAAGCCACUCUGGGCUUGUUUCUCCAUGGCUGAAAUGAAUGGGUUGGAACC
This is a long non-coding RNA of Pongo pygmaeus (Bornean orangutan), 604 nucleotides long. RefSeq lists it as uncharacterized. The transcript is spliced from 3 exons. The record is from RefSeq and is a predicted model, not a curated record. NCBI's taxonomy places the organism in Eukaryota, Metazoa, Chordata, Mammalia, Primates, Hominidae.